Molecule: ribosomal RNA, 351 nt
Filed under: Triticum aestivum (bread wheat)
Lineage: Eukaryota; Viridiplantae; Streptophyta; Magnoliopsida; Poales; Poaceae
Description: partial small subunit ribosomal RNA
Source: RNAcentral
AUGGCGGAGGAACCGUCUGCCAAGCGCCAUCAUGCCGAGACGUCGGACAAGAGGAGCAACCUCGUCGACAUUAACGUCCCCGGCGAGAAGCGCGAGUACACAACAACCCUCAAAGGGGUUGAGCUCCACGGCAAUGAGACGCUGGAGAUCGUCUGCACCAGUGUACCAGAAAAGGCCGACGAGGUGAUCUCUAGGCUCUGGAUGAAGCUUGGCGGCAGGUUUCAUAGGAUCGUCGGCGUUGGUGUGCACUACACCAACGAAGAUGAACCUCCCCAAAUGGCAGCAGUCCUGCAGUUGUGCGUCGACGAACUCUGCUUGGUGUACCACAUCGCAGCGGCCACAAAAUGGUGA